RNAcentral lists this ribosomal RNA (229 nucleotides) under uncultured archaeon. RNAcentral describes it as "partial 16S ribosomal RNA". It matches the Rfam family "Archaeal small subunit ribosomal RNA", at positions 23 to 246 of the family's 1478-position model. The record is from RNAcentral.
GCCACUGCUAUUGGGGUUCGGCUAAGCCAUGCGAGUGGAGGGCGUCCCGCAAGGGAUGGCCCCGCAGACGGCUCAGUAACACGUCGUCAACCCACCUUAGGGUGGGGGACAACCUCGGGAAACUGAGGAUAAUCCCCCCAUAGGCGGGGGAGGCUAGAAUGCGCCCCCGCUGAAAGCUCAGGCGCCCUAGGACGGGACGGCGGCCUAUCAGGUAGUUGGUGGUGUGACG